This 277-nucleotide ribosomal RNA is filed under the name uncultured Pseudomonas sp. RNAcentral's name for it is "partial 16S ribosomal RNA". It matches the Rfam family "Bacterial small subunit ribosomal RNA", at positions 1107 to 1382 of the family's 1533-position model. Lineage: Bacteria; Pseudomonadati; Pseudomonadota; Gammaproteobacteria; Pseudomonadales; Pseudomonadaceae. The record is from RNAcentral.
GUCCUUAGUUACCAGCACGUUAUGGUGGGCGACUCUAAGGAGACUGCCGGUGGCAAACCGGAGGAAGGUGGGGAUGACGUCAAGUCAUCAUGGCCCUUACGGCCUGGGCUACACACGUGCUACAAUGGUCGGUACAAAGGGUUGCCAAGCCGCGAGGUGGAGCUAAUCCCAUAAAACCGAUCGUAGUCCGGAUCGCAGUCUGCAACUCGACUGCGUGAAGUCGGAAUCGCUAGUAAUCGUGAAUCAGAAUGUCACGGUGAAUACGUUCCCGGGCCUU